CAUAUUUAAAUGCAUGGCCCAACAAACAAAAUCACCUAAACCCAACAAAUAAAACUGAAAAAGGGACAGCCGCCGCCGCCGCCGCCUCCCCUUCUUCAUCACUUGUUUACUGGCCAUGGCAUCGCUACCGGCCUAUGACAUAUCUGCGUCUGGACGGACAUCAGGAAAGCUCAACCUCACAGCCCUGCAAUCCGAUAUGAAAGCUGAUCCCGAAGGAUAUAGUUCGGAGGUGUCGCUUGNUUUGUAGUAAUUCAAAUUUUCCCAUGAUAAAGUUAAAUAUAAUAUCAAUGUGGGAAUAAUGAAUGACUAAUGUAAGAAUGUGAAUGACCUUUUAUUUAGGUAAUGAAUUGCUAAAGUUUGAUAUGUUUUCAAUGUGGGAUAAAUGAAUUAAGAUAGCAAAGAAUAGUGAAUGGAGAAGAUGCCACCUAGGAUUGAGGAUGAAUGUGGUGUGUCUAAUAUGCAUUGCUUUAUAGAAUUGAUAGAUGUCGUGGUCAUCUUAUAUUAUUUUAUUUUGUUCUUAUAUUAUUUUAUUUUGUUCUUAUGUAGGAGGGUGGAUUCAAAUCAAAAUAAGCAUAUGCAUCCGAUCUUUUCAAACUAAAUAUCAAAAUUCCACGGCAUGCUAGUUUAUAUAAAAGAAAUAUUUCUAUUCUUUAAACCAAAAAUUAACAGUUAAUUCAAAAAAUAAUUUAAAUUAAUAUCAUUUAAACUAUGCCAUUAUUUUAAUUUGAUUAAAUUAAAUUAAUUAAAAAUUAUGCCAUUAUUUAUAUAAAAAUUAUUCAAUAUACUAUAAUUACAAAAAUAAUAUAAAAUAAUUAUAAAUUACGUUGGAAAAUAAUUGCCGUCCAAUGAAUUACACUCUAGUAAUUCAUAUUUAAAUGCACAAAAAAAAAUCAUAUUUAAAUGCAUGGCCCAACAAACAAAAUCACCUAAACCCAACAAAUAAAACUGAAAACGGGACAGCCGCCGCCGCCGCCGCCUCCCCUUCUUCAUCACUUGUUUACUGGCCAUGGCAUCGCUACCGGCCUAUGACAUAUCUGCGUCUGGACGGACAUCAGGAAAGCUCAACCUCACAGCCCUGCAAUCCAAUAUGAAAGCUGAUCCCGAAGGAUAUAGUUCGGAGGUGUCGCUUGUUUACAAUCAGUUUAAAUCCUCUAUCGAAAUCUUUGAGGAGAAAGCCCGGUUGAAUUUCACUUCGCUCAGUGGAAUCUCCGC
RNAcentral lists this long non-coding RNA (1212 nucleotides) under Salvia miltiorrhiza (redroot sage). Its description in RNAcentral is "long non-coding RNA (SMIL_LNC007942)". The record is from RNAcentral. Lineage: Eukaryota; Viridiplantae; Streptophyta; Magnoliopsida; Lamiales; Lamiaceae.